Molecule: ribosomal RNA, 428 nt
Filed under: uncultured bacterium
Lineage: Bacteria
Description: bacterial SSU rRNA
Rfam family: Bacterial small subunit ribosomal RNA
Source: RNAcentral
UGGGGAAUUUUGGACAAUGGGGGCAACCCUGAUCCAGCCAUGCCGCGUGAGUGAAGAAGGCCUUCGGGUUGUAAAGCUCUUUCGGCCGGGAAGAAAUCGUGCGGGCUAAUACCCUGUAUGGAUGACGGUACCGGAAUAAGAAGCACCGGCUAACUACGUGCCAGCAGCCGCGGUAAUACGUAGGGUGCGAGCGUUAAUCGGAAUUACUGGGCGUAAAGCGUGCGCAGGCGGUUUUGUAAGACAGGCGUGAAAUCCCCGGGCUCAACCUGGGAACUGCGCUUGUGACUGCAAGACUAGAGUACGGCAGAGGGGGGUGGAAUUCCACGUGUAGCAGUGAAAUGCGUAGAGAUGUGGAGGAACACCAAUGGCGAAGGCAGCCCCCUGGGUCGAUACUGACGCUCAUGCACGAAAGCGUGGGGAGCAAACAG